GUGGGGUCCACCCAAACCCUAAAGCCAGGUCACAAACUCUACAAAUGGGCUUUUGUGCAUUCUACCAAAUUAGUUGGCCCAAAGUUACAAAAAUUCAUUAACAAAAUCUAAAUUACUAAGCUAAACUAGAUUAAUUCUAAUUUGCCUUCUGGAAAUUCUUCAAUUGCUUGUGCCCUUCCAAAAGUCUCCCAGUGUAUUUCCAAAAUUGCCCUGAAAAUAGAAAUAGGAAUAAUUAAGCUCAAAUAAUUCAAAUUAAUUAAAAUAUGAAUUAUUGGUCUAAUUAAGCCCAAAUGGUGAAAAUGACACAAUAACUAA
Molecule: long non-coding RNA, 315 nt
Filed under: Vigna radiata
Lineage: Eukaryota; Viridiplantae; Streptophyta; Magnoliopsida; Fabales; Fabaceae
Description: long non-coding RNA (VRAD_LNC015529)
Source: RNAcentral